Ribosomal RNA from Cavia aperea (Brazilian guinea pig), 112 nucleotides. NCBI's taxonomy places the organism in Eukaryota, Metazoa, Chordata, Mammalia, Rodentia, Caviidae. The record is from Ensembl.
GUCUACGGCCAUACCACCCCAAACACGCCCGAUCUCGUCUGAUCUCGGAAGUUAAGCAGGGUCGGGCCUGGUUAGUACUUGGAUGGGAGAAAUGACCUAUGGCUCCCUGACU